CUACGGGAGGCAGCAGUGGGGAAUAUUGGGCAAUGGGCGCAAGCCUGAUCCUGCCAUGCCGCGUGAGUGACGAAGGCCUUAGGGUUGGAAAGGUCUUUUGGCGGGGACGAUAAUGACGGUACCCGCAGAAUAAGCCCCGGCUAACUUCGUGCCAGCAGCCGCGGUAAU
Molecule: ribosomal RNA, 168 nt
Filed under: uncultured Hyphomicrobium sp.
Lineage: Bacteria; Pseudomonadati; Pseudomonadota; Alphaproteobacteria; Hyphomicrobiales; Hyphomicrobiaceae
Description: partial 16S ribosomal RNA
Rfam family: Bacterial small subunit ribosomal RNA
Source: RNAcentral